RNAcentral lists this ribosomal RNA (495 nucleotides) under uncultured bacterium. Its description in RNAcentral is "partial 16S ribosomal RNA". It matches the Rfam family "Bacterial small subunit ribosomal RNA", at positions 28 to 507 of the family's 1533-position model. The record is from RNAcentral.
GACGAACGCUGGCGGCGUGCCUAAAACAUGCAAGUAGAACGCUGAAGGAGGAGCUUGCUUCUCUGGAUGAGUUGCGAACGGGUGAGUAACGCGUAGGUAACCUGCCUGGUAGCGGGGGAUAACUAUUGGAAACGAUAGCUAAUACCGCAUAAGAGUAGAUGUUGCAUGACAUUUGCUUAAAAGGUGCAAUUGCAUCACUACCAGAUGGACCUGCGUUGUAUUAGCUAGUUGGUGGGGUAACGGCUCACCAAGGCGACGAUACAUAGCCGACCUGAGAGGGUGAUCGGCCACACUGGGACUGAGACACGGCCCAGACUCCUACGGGAGGCAGCAGUAGGGAAUCUUCGGCAAUAGACGGAAGUCUGACCGAGCAACGCCGCGUGAGUGAAGAAGGUUUUCGGAUCGUAAAGAUCUGUUGUAAGAGAAGAACGAGUGUGAGAGUGGAAAGUUCACACUGUGACGGUAUCUUACCAGAAAGGGACGGCUAACUACGUG